Molecule: transfer RNA, 360 nt
Filed under: uncultured Microcystis sp.
Lineage: Bacteria; Bacillati; Cyanobacteriota; Cyanophyceae; Chroococcales; Microcystaceae
Description: partial 16S-23S ribosomal RNA intergenic spacer
Rfam family: tRNA (bases 136-209)
Source: RNAcentral
AAAGGGAGACCUAAUUCAGGUAGGAGACGAAAAAAAAGUAGUCGCUACCAAGAAUCAAUCCCGAAAGGUCGGAGCGAGGCGAAAUUGGCUUUCAAACUAGGUUCUGGGUUCACACAAGACCUGAAUCAGGAACAAGGGCUAUUAGCUCAGGUGGUUAGAGCGCACCCCUGAUAAGGGUGAGGUCCCUGGUUCGAGUCCAGGAUGGCCCACCUGCACAGGUGGCAAAAACAGAGAAGCGAGGAAUCAGCACCUUAUCUUACUUAUAUAGUAAGAGAGAAUGCUGGCUCUGAGUAAAGAGUCCAGAGGAACCUUGAAAACUGCAUAGAGCUAGGUGAAAAAGCCAAAAAAGAAGACCGCAAG